This is a long non-coding RNA of Petromyzon marinus (sea lamprey), 426 nucleotides long. RefSeq lists it as uncharacterized. Lineage: Eukaryota; Metazoa; Chordata; Hyperoartia; Petromyzontiformes; Petromyzontidae. The record is from RefSeq and is a predicted model, not a curated record.
GGACCCUGGGCCGGUGUGGGAUCUAAUGUAGAUGCACAGAUGCCUCCGAGGGUAGCACGAUCUAAGGUCACGUGACCGGAAGCAGUACUCGAUUGGACGCGCUGAAGGCACGUGACCGGAAAUGGGUCCGAUUGGACGAACUAAGGGCACGUGACCAGAAUCGGUGCUCGAUUGGGCGAGCUAGGGGCACGUUACCAGAAGUGGGUCCGAUUGGACGACUCAAGGGCACGUGGCCUGAAGCGAGGUCUCGAUUGGACGGGAGGUGCCGGUGUCCUGUCGCUUGACACGGUCUCACCAUCAUCGCUUGCCCUGCUCAUCCUCCUCUCCUUGUACGCAAAGGAGGGAACGGGGCCCGACGGGAUGGGUGCGUUACCUGGGCCUGGAUGUCAAGGAAAGUGAGCUGCUGCUUCUGCGUUUGCUCAGAGG